Xylaria nigripes is the source of this 113-nucleotide non-coding RNA. The record is from the annotation of a GenBank genome assembly. Lineage: Eukaryota; Fungi; Ascomycota; Sordariomycetes; Xylariales; Xylariaceae.
GCCCGCUUGGCUAAGUGGUAUAGCGUGUCACUAGUACUCGGUGUUUGCAAUCUCGAUUGCGUUCCCCUCUAGAUGCCAUGACAAGAUCAGCGGUUCGAUUCCGCUAGUGGGCA